UACGUAGGGUGCGAGCGUUGUCCGGAAUUAUUGGGCGUAAAGAGCUUGUAGGCGGUCUGUCGCGUCUGCUGUGAAAAUCCGGGGCUCAACCCCGGACUUGCAGUGGGUACGGGCAGACUAGAGUGUGGUAGGGGAGACUGGAAUUCCUGGUGUAGCGGUGAAAUGCGUAGAUAUCGAGAGGAACACCUGCGGCGAAGGCGGGUUGCUGGGCCGACACUGACGCUGAGGCGCGAAAGCCAGGGGAGCGAACGGG
This 253-nucleotide ribosomal RNA is filed under the name uncultured bacterium. RNAcentral describes it as "partial 16S ribosomal RNA". It matches the Rfam family "Bacterial small subunit ribosomal RNA", at positions 524 to 776 of the family's 1533-position model. The record is from RNAcentral.